RNAcentral lists this ribosomal RNA (560 nucleotides) under Pseudoalteromonas sp. IH2-6. RNAcentral's name for it is "bacterial SSU rRNA". It matches the Rfam family "Bacterial small subunit ribosomal RNA", at positions 45 to 586 of the family's 1533-position model. The record is from RNAcentral. Lineage: Bacteria; Pseudomonadati; Pseudomonadota; Gammaproteobacteria; Alteromonadales; Pseudoalteromonadaceae.
GGCUACACAUGCAGUCGAGCGGUAGCACAGAGAAACUUGUUUCUUGGGUGACGAGCGGCGGACGGGUGAGUAAUGCUUGGGAACAUGCCUUUAGUGGGGGACAACAGUUGGAAACGACUGCUAAUACCGCAUGAUGUCUACGGACCAAAGUGGGGGACCUUCGGGCCUCACGCCUAAAGAUUGGCCCAAGUGGGAUUAGCUAGUUGGUGAGGUAAUGGCUCACCAAGGCAACGAUCUCUAGCUGGUUUGAGAGGAUGAUCAGCCACACUGGAACUGAGACACGGUCCAGACUCCUACGGGAGGCAGCAGUGGGGAAUAUUGCACAAUGGGCGAAAGCCUGAUGCAGCCAUGCCGCGUGUGUGAAGAAGGCCUUCGGGUUGUAAAGCACUUUCAGUCAGGAGCGAAACGCGUUACGUUUUAAUAGAGCGUAGCUGUGACGUUACUGACANAAAAAAGCCCCGGCUAACUCCGGUGCCAGCAGCCGCGGUAAUACGCGAGGGUGCGANCCGUUAAUCCGGGAUUACUGGGGGCGUUAAAGCGUACGCCAGGCCGGUUGGAUU